UGCGGUGUCGCCCAAGCCGGGUGGGGCGGCGGACAGUCAAUCCAUCAGGCGCUGGUUCGAGUCCAGUCAGCGCAA
Molecule: transfer RNA, 75 nt
Filed under: Salinispora arenicola
Lineage: Bacteria; Bacillati; Actinomycetota; Actinomycetes; Micromonosporales; Micromonosporaceae
Description: tRNA-Asp
Rfam family: tRNA
About the family: Transfer RNA (tRNA) molecules are approximately 80 nucleotides in length. Their secondary structure includes four short double-helical elements and three loops (D, anti-codon, and T loops).
Source: RNAcentral